CCGCGUGCAGGAUGAAGGCCUUCGGGUUGUAAACUGCUUUUGUACGGAACGAAACGGUCUGCCCUAAUACGGUGGGCUAAUGACGGUACCGUAAGAAUAAGCACCGGCUAACUACGUGCCAGCAGCCGCGGUAAUACGUAGGGUGCGAGCGUUAAUCGGAAUUACUGGGCGUAAAGCGUGCGCAGGCGGUUAUAUAAGACAGAUGUGAAAUCCCCGGGCUCAACCUGGGACCUGCAUUUGUGACUGUAUAGCUAGAGUACGGUAGAGGGGGAUGGAAUUCCGCGUGUAGCAGUGAAAUGCGUAGAUAUGCGGAGGAACACCGAUGGCGAAGGCAAUCCCCUGGACCUGUACUGACGCUCAUGCACGAAAGCGUGGGGAGCAAACAGGAUUAGAUACCCUGGUAGUCCACGCCCUAAACGAUGUCAACUGGUUGUUGGGUCUUCACUGACUCAGUAACGAAG
This 461-nucleotide ribosomal RNA is filed under the name Comamonadaceae bacterium. RNAcentral's name for it is "bacterial SSU rRNA". It matches the Rfam family "Bacterial small subunit ribosomal RNA", at positions 397 to 851 of the family's 1533-position model. Lineage: Bacteria; Pseudomonadati; Pseudomonadota; Betaproteobacteria; Burkholderiales; Comamonadaceae. The record is from RNAcentral.